RNAcentral lists this transfer RNA (73 nucleotides) under Candidatus Woesearchaeota archaeon. RNAcentral's name for it is "tRNA-Val". The record is from RNAcentral. RNAcentral also lists the same sequence under 1 other name. Lineage: Archaea; Nanobdellati; Candidatus Woesearchaeota.
GGGCCCUUGGUCUAGUAGCUAUGACGUCGCCUUGACUCGGCGAAGGUCCCCGGUGCAAGUCCGGGAGGGCCCA